UGGGGAAUAUUGGACAAUGGGCGCAAGCCUGAUCCAGCCAUGCCGCGUGAGUGAUGAAGGCACUAGGGUUGUAAAGCUCUUUCACCGGUGAAGAUAAUGACGGUAACCGGAGAAGAAGCCCCGGCUAACUUCGUGCCAGCAGCCGCGGUAAUACGAAGGGGGCUAGCGUUGUUCGGAUUUACUGGGCGUAAAGCGCACGUAGGCGGACUAUUAAGUCAGGGGUGAAAUCCCGGGACUCAACCCCGGAACUGCCUUUGAUACUGGUAGUCUUGAGUUCGAGAGAGGUGAGUGGAAUUCCGAAUGUAGUGGUGAGAUUCGUAGAUAUUCGGAGGAACACCAGUGGCGAAGGCAGGUCACUGGCUCGAUACUGACGCUGAGGUGCGAAAGCGUGGGGAGCAAACAGG
Molecule: ribosomal RNA, 404 nt
Filed under: Actinomycetes bacterium
Lineage: Bacteria; Bacillati; Actinomycetota; Actinomycetes
Description: Actinobacteria bacterium partial 16S ribosomal RNA
Rfam family: Bacterial small subunit ribosomal RNA
Source: RNAcentral